ACUCCAGGGAAUAUUUUCGGCGGAGCAAUGCGACGUAAUGCAAGUCCGAAACCUAGAUAAUAUUUUUCUCUCCAUGGAGAAAUUGCUUUACAUGACAAGAAAAUAUGGCUGCGCUGUAAUCAUGGUUACGCAAGCACAAUAUGGUCGAGAGCCGUAUUAUGAGUUGCGAGUUUGGGAAUCAUUCUUGAAGCAACGCCCUAAUCUGAAAUGUGUGAGAGAGUUUCAGAAGCACGCACAUAAGGGGCAAACUAUAUAUGAACCGUUUUGCCACCACAUCCUUCUCAUUAGGUGAAUUGCACAAUACGCAUCCUAAAGCUGAGAACACCCUUUAAAUAAGUGCAAUAUCUUUUAUGGGGAAAUUGACACAGUGCAAUUUUAGUUCUUCCUCACAUAGCAAAUGAUGUACUCUAAAAAAAUUGAAGCUAUAUUGCGCUUAGCGCAGAUACGCUUUUGCUCUUUCAAAAUAAAAUUGUUUGUAUCAACAAAAUAAAUGAUAAGCCAGCAUGUCGGCUUGAACACGUUUCCAUGUA
This is a long non-coding RNA of Rhipicephalus microplus (southern cattle tick), 530 nucleotides long. The record is from RefSeq and is a predicted model, not a curated record. Lineage: Eukaryota; Metazoa; Arthropoda; Arachnida; Ixodida; Ixodidae.